Limanda limanda (common dab) is the source of this 1229-nucleotide long non-coding RNA. RefSeq lists it as uncharacterized. Lineage: Eukaryota; Metazoa; Chordata; Actinopteri; Pleuronectiformes; Pleuronectidae. The transcript is spliced from 3 exons. The record is from RefSeq and is a predicted model, not a curated record.
CCAGCGAGGGCCGGUAGGAAACUGAGUCAGAUAUUUGGAAAAGCCAUUUGAGCGUUUACAGACUCAUUCAACUUUCUCCGUCACCUUCCUGUGAGUCUGCUCACUUCCGGUAACCUGCCGUUCACCUGCUGUCGCACACGGUACCGACGGGACGGGGGGCGUGACCGGUUCGAGCCGGUCAGAACGAGGUUUGCACCUGGCACCGGCGUGAUGGAGAAGAUCGGCACGAAGAGCUUUCUGCUGGAGAGACUUCACUACUGAUGGAGAACCCGUGACGAUACGUCCUCCACGCAAGUUACUCCAGUUGUAUUGGAUUUGGCUGCAACGCUGUUUACCCCUAAAACAUCAGCAUAGUGGAUGAGAUGGAGGCAACCCAGGAGGGAGCAGUGGCUCUGGUUGCAGUGGUGGAUGAAGCAGAGGUGCCUGCAGGUGUUCCCUUUGAAACUCAUCAUGUGUCGAUCGUUCUCAAAUCAAGUUGUAAUGUCUCACAGAUCUUGAACUGAUUCACUGGUAAUUUUGUGUGGACUGAUCUAUGCUCUACAUUUGAGCUACCCUGAGAAGCUGAGUGGCUUCUUUGAGUUCAUCCAGGUUGUCCUGUUAAAUCUUGAUGAUGGGAGAAAGCAGCUCGAAGCUAAGUUGCAGUCCUUGAGAAAUGAGCUGGAGUAGGUUGUCAUUAGCUUAUCAUGUUGAAUGUCAGCAUCGUUUUUUGCUUGCAUGCCAAAUACUGGUAGCUAAUGACAUGUAUAUAGAGUAAACUAUGGCACCUAAGAUUUUUGUGUUAAAAUAGAUCCUAAUCUUGGAUUGCUUCUGUGGUGUUCACACUUCUCUUCUUUACCACAUGGAAAUAUUUGUAAUUUAUAUUUAUAUUAUUUUUUAUAUGAGCCUCAUUUCAUUGUCAUUUCCAGCAUAUAAAUGUUAAUGUAUACAACAUUUAAUUCAACAGCUUCAUUGUACAACAAUAUUGGCACGGAAUCCAAGGGUAUCCAAAUGUUGACGUUAAAAAUGUUUUAUUUUGUCAGUUACUGACACUUUGGAUGAACUAUACCUUUAAACUGUUAACUUAAAAUGUGCCCUGCUUUAUGUUCAGUUUAUCGUUAUGGGCAUAAUAAUGUGCUUAGUCUGCUGUAGCCUUUAAGAUUGCAUAUGUGAAAAAUCUGAGAGAUAUUCCUUUGAAUUUCAGUAGCUGGUUGCAUUGAAAUGUGAACAACAAAAUAAAUUGCUCAAACUGA